UACGUAGGGUGCAAGCGUUGUCCGGAAUCAUUGGGCGUAAAGCGCGCGUAGGUGGCUUCGUAAGUCCGUUGUGAAAGUCAAAGGCUCAACCUUUGAAAGCCGAUGGAUACUGCGGAGCUAGAGUACGGAAGAGGCGAGUGGAAUUCCUGGUGUAGCGGUGGAAUGCGCAGAUAUCAGGAGGAACACCAAUAGCGAAGGCAGCUCGCUGGGACGUUACUGACACUGAGGCGCGAAAGCGUGGGGAGCGAACAGGG
Molecule: ribosomal RNA, 254 nt
Filed under: uncultured bacterium
Lineage: Bacteria
Description: partial 16S ribosomal RNA
Rfam family: Bacterial small subunit ribosomal RNA
Source: RNAcentral